Molecule: long non-coding RNA, 1092 nt
Organism: Lactuca sativa (garden lettuce)
Lineage: Eukaryota; Viridiplantae; Streptophyta; Magnoliopsida; Asterales; Asteraceae
Source: RefSeq, a predicted model, not a curated record
CUUAUUUUGUUAAACAUUUCCAAUAAAGGGGCUGAUAUGCUUAAUUUAAAUCAAAGUUUGUAGGUUGGGAUUUAUUUUGAAUUAAUGGUUCCAUAAGGGAGUUAGUUUGGUCAUUUCAUAAAAAUAAAAAGGAUUUAGGGCUUUUUUUGCCCUCAUCAUUUGUUGAGGGAUAAUGAAGCAACGAAUGAAAGCGGAUAGAACAUACAAACGGACGAUUGAAGUCAAGAAGGAAAGCAUGAAGGCUCGCAGGCAGUUAGGAAAUCCGGUUUUUUGUCGAUCGAUCGCAAGAAGGGAGCGUCUCCGGGUUUGACGAGACCGAAAAAGGAAGGGAAGAAGCAGCGAGGUUGCUCUCUUCCUGCUCCGAUAAUGAGGUGCGAAAGGAGAAGGGGAGUACCGGUCUGCUUGGAGGUAUGCGAGCAGCAACAGCAGCAAAGGCGAGGCUUCGGCGACAGUAUCUCGAUAGGAGAAGAAGAGAAGGUGCGAGGGGUAAGGCCAGAAGAGGGGGUCUGAUGGGAGGAAAACGAACAGUAGCACUCAAGUGGGGGGUGCUUGGCAGCGGAGCUCGUCGGGAAGGAAGGGAAGGUGCGACGGGGGCUGCUCCAGCAGCCUCCUUGUUGCUUCUUCUUCUAGUCUGAUAACACACAAAUAAGGGGAAGGAUGGCAGCAGCAAAGGAAAUCAAGGGAACAAGAGGAGAAACGAAGGAGGGACUUCAAGAGGAAGGAGGAAUGAUGAAUGUAGCUAUAUGAAUACACUGCAUAUCAUUCAUACUUUGUGUGUUUGUGCAAGUUGUGAGUGAAUUUGUAUGUGUUUGCGUGAAGGAGAAGGAGUACGUGAGUGAAGAAGUGAAAGAUAUGAGGUGAUCAAUUUGUGUACUAUCUCUAUCUUCACUUGAAUGAUUUUGUACAUGGAAUUGUUUGUGAGAAUGGGCUAGGAAACGUGGGGAGGAAGAGGUGGGGUGUAAUAGUCAAUUUGAGUGUAAUUUUCUGUACAAUUGAUGAGACUAGUAAUUGAGCCGUGGGUUGCUGCGGAUUGUUGUGUUAUAUUUUUGUGUAUUUGGAGUUAUAAUUAAUUAAAUAUCACAGUUUCUUGAA